RNAcentral lists this ribosomal RNA (681 nucleotides) under uncultured bacterium. Its description in RNAcentral is "bacterial SSU rRNA". It matches the Rfam family "Bacterial small subunit ribosomal RNA", at positions 584 to 1254 of the family's 1533-position model. The record is from RNAcentral.
CAAGUCAGAUGUGAAAGCCUUCUGUUCAACGGAAGAAUUGCAUCUGAAACUGCUAAUCUUGAGUAUAGGAGGGGAGAAUGGAACUUCUGGUGGAGCGGUGAAAUGCGUAGAUAUCAGAAGGAACGCCGGCGGCGAAAGCGAUUCUCUGGCCUAUUACUGACACUCAGUGUGCGAAAGCUAGGGGGGCAAACGGGAUUAGAUACCCCGGUAGUCCUAGCUGUAAACGAUGGGCACUAAGUAGAGGGGAUUACCUAUAUACUCUCUGCCGUAGCUAACGCAUUAAGUGCCCCGCCUGGGGAGUACGGCCGCAAGGCUAAAACUCAAAAGAAUUGACGGGGGCUCGCACAAGCGGUGGAGCAUGUGGCUUAAUUCGAUGCAACGCGAAAAACCUUACCGGGGCUUGACAUGAUAGAAGUAGGAACCUGAAAGGGGGACGAACGGUAUCCAGUCCGUAGCUAUUACAGGUGUUGCAUGGCUGUCGUCAGCUCGUGUCGUGAGACGUUGGGUUAAGUCCCCUAACGAGCGAAACCCUUGUUUUUAGUUACCAGCGGGUUAUGCCGGGUACUCUAGAAAGACUGCCGUCGUCAAGACGGAGGAAGGUGGGGACGACGUCAAGUCAUCAUGGCCCUUAUGCCCCGGGCUGCACACGUGCUACAAUGGUCGGUACAGACGGAAGCGAAG